ACUCCUGACUGACCGAUAGUGAACCAGUACCGUGAGGGAAAGGCGAAAAGAACCCCGGCGAGGGGAGUGAAAAAGAACCUGAAACCGUGUACGUACAAGCAGUGGGAGCACCCUUCGGGGUGUGACUGCGUACCUUUUGUAUAAUGGGUCAGCGACUUAUAUUCUGUAGCAAGGUUAACCGAAUAGGGGAGCCGGAGGGAAACCGAGUCUUAAUUGGGCGUUAAGUUGCAGGGUAUAGACCCGAAACCCGGUGAUCUAGCCAUGGGCAGGUUGAAGGUUGGGUAACACUAACUGGAGGACCGAACCGACUAAUGUUGAAAAAUUAGCGGAUGACCUGUGGCUGGGGGUGAAAGGCCAAUCAAACCGGGAGAUAGCUGGUUCUCCCCGAAAGCUAUUUAGGUAGCGCCUCGUGAAUUCAUCUCCGGGGGUAGAGCACUGUUUCGGCUAGGGGGCCAUCCCGGCUUACCAACCCGAUGCAAACUGCGAAUACCGGAGAAUGUUAUCACGGGAGACACACGGCGGGUGCUAACGUCCGUCGUGAAGAGGGAAACAACCCAGACCGCCAGCUAAGGUCCCAAAGUCAUGGUUAAGUGGGAAACGAUGUGGGAAGGCCCAGACAGCCAGGAUGUUGGCUUAGAAGCAGCCAUCAUUUAAAGAAAGCGUAAUAGCUCACUGGUCGAGUCGGCCUGCGCGGAAGAUGUAACGGGGCUAAACCAUGCACCGAAGCUGCGGCAGCGACACUGUGUGUUGUUGGGUAGGGGAGCGUUCUGUAAGCCUGCGAAGGUGGCCUGUGAGGGUUGCUGGAGGUAUCAGAAGUGCGAAUGCUGACAUAAGUAACGAUAAAGCGGGUGAAAAGCCCGCUCGCCGGAAGACCAAGGGUUCCUGUCCAACGUUAAUCGGGGCAGGGUGAGUCGACCCCUAAGGCGAGGCCGAAAGGCGUAGUCGAUGGGAAACGGGUUAAUAUUCCCGUACUUGGUGUUACUGCGAAGGGGGGACGGAGAAGGCUAUGUUGGCCGGGCGACGGUU
This 1026-nucleotide ribosomal RNA is filed under the name Salmonella enterica subsp. enterica serovar Indiana. RNAcentral describes it as "partial 23S ribosomal RNA". It matches the Rfam family "Bacterial large subunit ribosomal RNA", at positions 472 to 1503 of the family's 2925-position model. Lineage: Bacteria; Pseudomonadati; Pseudomonadota; Gammaproteobacteria; Enterobacterales; Enterobacteriaceae. The record is from RNAcentral.